RNAcentral lists this ribosomal RNA (580 nucleotides) under uncultured bacterium. RNAcentral's name for it is "bacterial SSU rRNA". It matches the Rfam family "Bacterial small subunit ribosomal RNA", at positions 771 to 1345 of the family's 1533-position model. The record is from RNAcentral.
AACGGGAUUAGAUACCCCGGUAGUCCACGCCGUAAACGAUGCGUACUAGGUUGGGGAAGCUCGACGCUGUUCCCGGCUGAAGCAAAAGUAUUAAGUACGCCGCCUGGGGAGUACGGUCGCAAGGCUAAAACUCAAAGGAAUUGACGGGGGCUCACACAAGCGGUGGAGCAUGUGGCUUAAUUCGAAGCAACGCGAAGAACCUUAUCCUGGGCUUGACAUGUACGAAUUAGCUUCCUGAAAGGGAAGUGACGCCUUAGGGUGGAACGUACACAGGUGCUGCAUGGCUGUCGUCAGCUCGUGCUGUGAAGUGUCGGGUUAAGUCCCUUAACGAGCGCAACCCCUGUCGUUAGUUGCUAGCAGGUAAUGCUGAGGACUCUAACGAGACUGCCGGUGUUAAACCGGACGAAGGUGGGGAUGACGUCAAGUCCGCAUGGCCUUUAUGCCCAGGGCUGCACACGUGCUACAAUGGCAGGUACAGAACGAUGCAAUACCGCGAGGUGGAGCAAAUCGCGAAAACCUGCCCCAGUUCGGAUUGGAGGCUGCAAUUCGCCUCCAUGAAGUUGGAAUCGCUAGUAAUCGC